CUUGGUCAUUUAGAGGAAGUAAAAGUCGUAACAAGGUUUCCGUAGGUGAACCUGCGGAAGGAUCAUUAACGAGUUAGGGUCUCUCUGGCCCGACCUCCCAACCCUUUGUCUACUUGACCAUCGUUGCUUCGGCGAGCCCGUCCUCACGGACCGCCGGAGGGAUCUUUACUGGCCCUCUGGUCCGCGCUCGUCGGUAGCCCAACCUUUAAAAUCUUUAACUAAACGUGCCUUAAUCUAAGUACAAUUAUUAAAUAAAAGCAAAACUUUCAACAACGGAUCUCUUGGUUCUGGCAUCGAUGAAGAACGCAGCGAAAUGCGAUAAGUAAUGCGAAUUGCAGAAUUCCAGUGAGUCAUCGAAUCUUUGAACGCACAUUGCGCCCUUUGGUAUUCCGAAGGGCAUGCCUGUUCGAGCGUCAUUAUCACCCCUCAAGCCCUCGGCUUGGUGUUGGACGGUUUGGUGGAGGCCCCCUCGGGGGCUCCUGCCCCUCCCAAAGACAAUGACGGCGGCCUCGUUGGACCCCCGGUACACUGAGUUCUUCACGGGACACGUAUCGGACACAUGGGUUUACGGGACACGGUCUGCCUCCCCUCAGGGAGAAUCUUUCUAAGGUUGACCUCGGAUCAGGUAGGGAUACCCGCUGAACUUAAGCAUAUCAAUAAGCGGAGGAAAAGAAACCAACAGGGAUUGCCUCAGUAACGGCGAGUGAAGCGGCAACAGCUCAAAUUUGAAAUCUGGCCUCUUUGGGGUCCGAGUUGUAAUUUGUAGAGGAUGUUUCGGGUACCGCCUCGGUUUAAAUUUCUUGGAACAGAAUGUCAAAGAGGGUGAGAAUCCCGUCUUGGACCGGCGGUAGGGCCCAUGUGAAACUCCUUCGACNNANUUCGAGUUGUUUGGGAAU
This 896-nucleotide small RNA is filed under the name uncultured Exophiala. RNAcentral describes it as "eukaryotic LSU rRNA". The stretch from base 612 to 896 matches the Rfam family "Eukaryotic large subunit ribosomal RNA", at positions 1 to 281 of the family's 3401-position model. Lineage: Eukaryota; Fungi; Ascomycota; Eurotiomycetes; Chaetothyriales; Herpotrichiellaceae. The record is from RNAcentral.